UAUAAGUAUAUAAAGAAACUAUUAUGGAAUUUAAGCUAUGUAUUAAAGAGAAUUAUUUAUAUAUAUAGGAAAUUUAUCCUAUAAUUAUAUGAACUCUAAGAGAAAUUUUGUAAUAAACGAAGUGAAUUGAAAUAUCUUAGUAACUUUAGGAAAAUAAAUCAAAAGAGAUUCUAUGAAUAGCGUGAGCGAAAGUAGAGAAGCCUAACAAGUAAAACGGUUUAAAACUGUUUGAAUAUUAUGGGGAACCUUCCUCAAAGGCUAAAUAUAAUACAUAAGCGAUAGUGAAAAGUACCAUGAGGGAAAAAAAAUAAAAAUAGUAGUUUUAUAAGCAGUUCGAAAUAAAGAACGUACCUUUUGCAUAAUGGGUCACCAAGUUAACGUUAGAUGCGAGAUAAUACGUAGUUAAACCGAACGUUAAAAUAACGAUAUAGUAUCUAAAGUUAGACCCGAAGCCUGGUGAUUUUACCAUGGUCAGGAUUAUAAAAGUCCGAACCGGUGAUUGUAGCAAAAAUCUCGGAAGAACUGUGGUAGGUGUAGUGAAAGACAACACUGACUAGGAUAGCUGGUUUUCUGCGAAACCUAUAAUAGUAGGCAGUUUAAGUAAAUAUCUUAGCAGGUACAGAAUUUAAUCUCAGACAAGACAUUUCAAUGUUUUAUAUUGUACAAAUUGGGGGAUCAUGAAGAUUUUAUCAGUGAGUAUGUAGACUCGGAAUGGCAAAGAUAUAUCUUAAACUAUCAGACAUAGAAUGAUAAGGUUGUAUGUCGAAAGGGAAACAGCCCAGAACAAGAGUUAAGGUUCCUAAAUUAUUUGUUAAGUGAAAAUAAGAAGGUUUUUAUUUAAGUCGACAAGGAGAUAGGCUUAGAAGCAGCCAUAAUUUUAUGACCUCGUAACAGAGCGCUUGUUAAAUUAUAAAAGCGUCGAAAAUAUAACGGAUCUAAACAAUAUACCGAAACCUUGUCCAUAAUAUAUUAUAAUAAAUAUGUUUAUUAUAAUUAAAUGGGGUAGCAGAACGUUGAGCUAAAGUAUGAGUUUUAUUUUUUAAAUAAAAUUAUAUUAAUUUAACUCAAGUGAGAAUGGUGACAUGAGUAACUAAAAGAAAAUUUUCCGCCUUAAGCUUAUGGAUGUAAUUAAGUAACGGCCUCUAAGUUUAUAUAAUCUAAAGAUUUAAACGAUGAGAAAAUCUUUAUUACUAAAAACAACAUUUUGGUGCAAAAUGUGCUGGAAAAAUAGUAAUAUGUUUGUUAUUAAAUAACAAAUAAAAUAACCGUACCUAGAAUCUGAAACAAGUAAGCUAGUAGAGAAUACGAAGGCGUAAAUGAGCUAACAAUCAUAAAGGAACUCGGCAAAUUGACUACCGUAACUUCGGAAUAAGGAGGGCUCAUUAUUCUUGAUGAAUAUCAAGUAAAGAGGAAGAAGCAUGAAAUAAUGUUGUACGACUGUUUAAUUAAAACACAGCACUUUGCUGAAAGAUUAAAAAUCUAAGUAUAAAGUGUGAUAUCUGCCCGGUGCCGGCUGGUUAACAGAGAUAAUUGAAUACACUAAUAUUUGAUGUCGACGGAAACCCCGGUUAAAGGCGGCCUUAACGUGAGGGUCCUAAGGUAGCGAAAUGCCUUGGCCGUUAAAUGCGGUCUUGCAUGAAUGGUGUAACGAUACAACAGCUGUCUCUAUGAUUGACUCAGUGAAAUUGGAAUAGCUGUGCAGAUACAGCUUACCUCUAGUUAGACGAGAAGACCCUAUGCAGCUUUACUGUCACUAAUUAUAGAGUAUGAUAAACGAUUUUCAGAAUAUAAGGUAAUUGACAAACAUGACAAUGAGAAACCUUUAUUCUUUUUUCAUAUGAAUGAAUUGGUUUAGGAUUAUGAGUAAUUUAUAAUUAAUUUUAUGGAUUUAGCUUAGGCUUGAUCGCAUUUUAUUAUUAUAUAGCUCAUUUUAGUAAAUCAACCUAAUUCAACUUAUUUAUUUUAUAAUAAUUAAGUACCCUUUGGUAAGGAACUAUCGCUAGGGGACAGUUUAUGUGGGGCACAGACCCUGUAAAGAGUAAACAGGAGUGUCUAAAAAUUUAUAAUUAUUUUGUUUGCUAUUUUGAGUAGUUUAACUAUUUUUAAUCGUAUAAAAUUAAAUAUAUUUGCAUUUUAUGUAUAUAUAUUUAAAAUUAGGUAAGAUUUUCACUAUAUAGAAAUUAGAGAUAAUUGAAAGUAUUAUGGAAUUUUCUAAUAUUUUCUAGCUAUUAUUUAUAAUGGUUAUGUGUUUAAUAUCUAAAAAGCUCAACGGCUAAAUCUUGCCUUACUGUUUGAUUAUCGACAAAUCUUACAGUUGCGUAAGCAGGGCAUAGGAUCACAAGAUGCCACAAGGAAAGAUCUUGGAUUAUUGGAAAAGCUACGCUAGGGAUGUUUGUCCUUUAAUAUUUUAUUUAUAAA
Ribosomal RNA from Trichoderma harzianum, 2418 nucleotides. It matches the Rfam family "Bacterial large subunit ribosomal RNA". The record is from Rfam. Lineage: Eukaryota; Fungi; Ascomycota; Sordariomycetes; Hypocreales; Hypocreaceae.